RNAcentral lists this ribosomal RNA (497 nucleotides) under uncultured bacterium. Its description in RNAcentral is "partial 16S ribosomal RNA". It matches the Rfam family "Bacterial small subunit ribosomal RNA", at positions 28 to 507 of the family's 1533-position model. The record is from RNAcentral.
GAUGAACGCUGGCGGCGUGCCUAAUACAUGCCAGUCGAGCGAACGGACGAGAAGCUUGCUACUCUGAUGUUAGCGGCGGACGGGUGAGUAACACGUGGAUAACCUACCUAUAAGACUGGGAUAACUUCGGGAAACCGGAGCUAAUACCGGAUAAUAUUUUGAACCGCAUGGUUCAAAAGUGAAAGACGGUCUUGCUGUCACUUAUAGAUGGAUCCGCGCUGCAUUAGCUAGUUGGUAAGGUAACGGCUUACCAAGGCAACGAUGCAUAGCCGACCUGAGAGGGUGAUCGGCCACACUGGAACUGAGACACGGUCCAGACUCCUACGGGAGGCAGCAGUAGGGAAUCUUCCGCAAUGGGCGAAAGCCUGACGGAGCAACGCCGCGUGAGUGAUGAAGGUCUUCGGAUCGUAAAACUCUGUUAUUAGGGAAGAACAUAUGUGUAAGUAACUGUGCACAUCUUGACGGUACCUAAUCAGAAAGCCACGGCUAACUACGUG